RNAcentral lists this ribosomal RNA (481 nucleotides) under uncultured bacterium. RNAcentral's name for it is "bacterial SSU rRNA". It matches the Rfam family "Bacterial small subunit ribosomal RNA", at positions 29 to 505 of the family's 1533-position model. The record is from RNAcentral.
UUGAACGCUGGCGGAAUGCUUUACACAUGCAAGUCGAGCGGCAGCGCGGGGGCAACCCUGGCGGCGAGCGGCGAACGGGUGAGUAAUGUAUCGGAACGUACCCUGUCGUGGGGGAUAACACAGCGAAAGCUGUGCUAAUACCGCAUACGACCUGAGGGUGAAAGCGGGGGAUCGCAAGACCUCGCGCGAUAGGAGCGGCCGAUAUCGGAUUAGCUUGUUGGUGAGGUAAAGGCUCACCAAGGCGACGAUCCGUAGCGGGUCUGAGAGGACGACCAGCCACACUGGAACUGAGACACGGUCCAGACUCCUACGGGAGGCAGCAGUGGGGAAUUUUGGACAAUGGGCGAAAGCCUGAUCCAGCCAUGCCGCGUGAGUGAAGAAGGCCUUCGGGUUGUAAAGCUCUUUCAGCCGGAAAGAAAUCGCGCAGGCUAAUACUCUGCGUGGAUGACGGUACCGGAAGAAGAAGCACCGGCUAACUACG